AACGAACGCUGGCGGCAUGCCUAACACAUGCAAGUCGAACGAGACCUUCGGGUCUAGUGGCGCACGGGUGCGUAACGCGUGGGAAUCUGCCCCUUGCUUCGGAAUAACAGUUAGAAAUGACUGCUAAUACCGGAUGAUGACUUCGGUCCAAAGAUUUAUCGGCAAGGGAUGAGCCCGCGUAGGAUUAGGUAGUUGGUGGGGUAAAGGCCUACCAAGCCGACGAUCCUUAGCUGGUCUGAGAGGAUGAUCAGCCACACUGGGACUGAGACACGGCCCAGACUCCUACGGGAGGCAGCAGUGGGGAAUAUUGGACAAUGGGCGCAAGCCUGAUCCAGCAAUGCCGCGUGAGUGAUGAAGGCCCUCGGGUCGUAAAGCUCUUUUACCAGGGAUGAUAAUGACAGUACCUGGGGAAUAAGCUCCGGCUAACUCCGUGCCAGCAGCCGCGGUAA
RNAcentral lists this ribosomal RNA (449 nucleotides) under uncultured bacterium. RNAcentral describes it as "partial 16S ribosomal RNA". It matches the Rfam family "Bacterial small subunit ribosomal RNA", at positions 29 to 523 of the family's 1533-position model. The record is from RNAcentral.